This 856-nucleotide ribosomal RNA is filed under the name uncultured bacterium. RNAcentral's name for it is "bacterial SSU rRNA". It matches the Rfam family "Bacterial small subunit ribosomal RNA", at positions 8 to 853 of the family's 1533-position model. The record is from RNAcentral.
AGAGUUUGAUCAUGGCUCAGAUUGAACGCUGGCGGCAGGCUUAACACAUGCAAGUCGAACGGUAACAGGAAGGAAGCUUGCUUUCUUUGCUGACGAGUGGCGGACGGGUGAGUAAUGCUUGGGAAUCUGGCUUAUGGAGGGGGAUAACUACGGGAAACUGUAGCUAAUACCGCGUAAUAUCUUCGGAUUAAAGGGUGGGACCGUAAGGCCACCUGCCAUAAGAUGAGCCCAAGUGGGAUUAGGUAGUUGGUGGGGUAAAGGCCUACCAAGCCGACGAUCUCUAGCUGGUCUGAGAGGAUGACCAGCCACACUGGAACUGAGACACGGUCCAGACUCCUACGGGAGGCAGCAGUGGGGAAUAUUGCACAAUGGGGGGAACCCUGAUGCAGCCAUGCCGCGUGAAUGAAGAAGGCCUUCGGGUUGUAAAGUUCUUUCGGUGAUGAGGAAGGCGGUUGUUUUAAUAGAACAAUCGAUUGACGUUAGUCACAGAAGAAGCACCGGCUAACUCCGUGCCAGCAGCCGCGGUAAUACGGAGGGUGCGAGCGUUAAUCGGAAUGACUGGGCGUAAAGGGCACGCAGGCGGUGACUUAAGUGAGACGUGAAAGCCCCGGGCUUAACCUGGGAAUUGCAUUUCAUACUGGGUCGCUAGAGUAUUUUAGGGAGGGGUAGAAUUCCACGUGUAGCGGUGAAAUGCGUAGAGAUGUGGAGGAAUACCGAAGGCGAAGGCAGCCCCUUGGGAAUAUACUGACGCUCAUGUGCGAAAGCGUGGGGAGCAAACAGGAUUAGAUACCCUGGUAGUCCACGCUGUAAACGCUGUCGAUUUGGGGAUUGGGCUUUAAGCUUGGUGCCCGUAGCU